This is a long non-coding RNA of Dunckerocampus dactyliophorus (ringed pipefish), 1979 nucleotides long. RefSeq lists it as uncharacterized. The record is from RefSeq and is a predicted model, not a curated record. The transcript is spliced from 4 exons. NCBI's taxonomy places the organism in Eukaryota, Metazoa, Chordata, Actinopteri, Syngnathiformes, Syngnathidae.
GCGCCCGCAUGCUAGCACAGGCCAUUGUUAACAAUGAGAUGUUGUCAUGUCUGUGCUUGUUACGUCCUCCCAGAUGGAUUUGGCCGAUCGUCUCCCGGGGCGACAUCUGUCUCGGUAGACGGCGUGCCGAGACGCGGCGAGAUGGUCGAUACCUGAUGAAUACGACGUGGAUGCACAGACCGCGAGAGAGCACGAUGGAACUGCCUCCCCAUUCCCCACCUUCCAUGAGUGUGACCAUAUUUUCAUUAGCCAAAACCAGGACAACCGCCAGCAACGACAAAGGAUCCUGGAAGGCAACUUUUUGGUGGAGAUUUUGCGGAGCAGGAAGUGGGCUGCUAGCAUGAAGCUGGACCAGCACAUGGAAACACGUGUCAGUGUUACGUUUGCUUUCUUCAUCCGCGUUUGUGACAUAAACAGCGUAAAGUGCGUUGUGAGCAACAUACUGUUAGCAUGAGAUUUUAUGACCUUUGAUGACCUUCUUGAUGUGGGAUAUGCCAAGCAAGCAUACGGGGAAGGUGUGAGGGCUAAACGUAAGCCAUGCUAUCAGUUAGCUGGCCAUCAAUCAGCAUAACAGCAGUGGCGGGCAUACGUCGCAUGCUAACACGGUCACGUGCGUGUGCUAAUGUGCUGUUCGGGCGCCAGGAAGCCGUGCGUCAUUCCGUCACGCAGAUUGAAGCGGAGCUCUGGCCUCAAAUGAAAAGGUAACUUUUCAGCUUUUUCUGUCCCCUGCUGUUUUAUUCCACACAGGAAGACACAAUUCCUCCAAAAGCCGAGAAUCUUUCACAGAAAUUGGUUGCGGAAGGAGGACUUCAAUCACAAUGGGUCGUCCACCUUUUCUGUCGCGCUCAUCACUAAUUCUGUUGGAAAGAACCUGCUGACAUUUCCUGAGGACAAUCAUGACGUGUUGAUCUUCACAUCUCCUCUGGAGAUUCCUCGCCGCCUUGGUGGUGAUGUCCAUUCCUUCAUUGGACUUCCUGAGAGUUCAAAGCGCCACAGCCGCUAGCGUCCCUCCAUGCCUCUGGAGAUGACGGGCGGCGGCGGAGUGACGGGCCGGAAAACUCACGCUGACAGACGGAGACCAAUGAGGAGGAACGAGCGAAGAGGAUGACGGGUGAAGGAGGGAAGGCUGCACGCAAAAAGUUGCACCUGUUGAUGCCCCUUCCUUGCCGACGCCCCCCUUCAUCAGCAGCCAAUCAAUCAGUCCAUCAGUCGCCCCCCCCCCCUCUCCACAGUCAUCUUACCCGGAGAACGUCAGUGGCAGCUUGAGAAGGUGAAGCCUGACAGCAACACCACGUCAUGCCACGUUGGCAUGGAUCUCCCUACAGGAGGGCACGUCAUGCCACGUUGGCAUGGAUCUCCCCACAGGACGGCACGUCAUGCCACGUUGGCAUGGAUCUCCCCACAGGAUGGCACGCUGGUCCUGCGCUGCUUCAGCGUUUCAGCGUCAUGCGUUCCUUCAUUCAGUAGCGAAUCAUCCCAGCCUGUUUUUGGUGGGAAAGUGUCCACAUUUCAACAAACGCUUCCUGCUUUUUGCCACAAUGAAGCAUGAAAAUGAAGUCAAAUAGAAAUAAGGCAGCAUUCCACUUGUGAGUGUAGUACCCUAGGCUGGCCACCAGGUGUCUCACAACACAAUGAUAACAUUCUGCUGGUUCUGCAUGCAGGGUGAAAGGUAAUGUAGUCUAGGUAAAGUACAGUACAGUACAGUACAGUACAGUAACCCUGCCACCAUAAUCAAUGAAUGAAUGAACAGCACCCGUGCAUCACGUAACAUACAUCAACAACACGCCACAGGCUGGAUGACAUGUCUCAACACCUGGCCGUGUUGGUUCUCUCGUAGAAUAAACGGCAUGAGUGAACCCUCCUGUCAGCCAUUCACUCUCUUUGUCCCUGUGGGGAGAGGCGGGCUAGCGUUGUGUGGUGCGCUACAUGAUGGAAUACUUGCUGAUCAAUUUCUGCCUGUUUGCGCAUCAGCAUUCUGG